GAUGAAAUUGAUUUAUUGGAAUCUUGGUAAGAAUUUUAAGGAUAAAAUUUUGUGGGGAUUUAACUUUAGAACUAGUGAAACCGAGAUUAAAUUUAUACCCCAUUGUAAAAACAAUUUGAAAAUUUGAAAUAAAAAUAGGAUUAGAUACCCUAGUAUUCAAAUAACGAAAUUUAACAAAGGAUUUAAAUUAGAAGUAUUAGUUAUGGACUUGAAAUUAAAAAAAAAUGGCGGUAUUACAGACCAUUUAGGGGAACUUGUUUCGUAAUCGACGAUCCGCGAAAAGAUUACUUUUUAAAGGAGCUUGUAUACCGUUGUCUUCAGGGAAUCGAUAAAGGGAAAUUUCCUAAAGUUAUCUGUUUGAUAAAGUAAGUCAAAUCAAGGUGCAGCUUAUGAAAAAGGGGAAAAUGAGUUACAAUAUAGAAUAGGUACCAAACGGAUUAAGGGCUGAGAAAUCCUUAUGAAGGCGGACUUGAAAGUAAUUACAAUAAUAAAGGUGUAAUGAGUUAGGCUCUGAAAUAUGUACACAUCGCCCGUCACUCUCAAAGAAAAAAUGAG
Molecule: ribosomal RNA, 555 nt
Filed under: Diaperasticus erythrocephalus
Lineage: Eukaryota; Metazoa; Arthropoda; Insecta; Dermaptera; Forficulidae
Description: partial 12S ribosomal RNA
Rfam family: Microsporidia small subunit ribosomal RNA (bases 189-555)
Source: RNAcentral